This 229-nucleotide ribosomal RNA is filed under the name uncultured bacterium. RNAcentral describes it as "partial 16S ribosomal RNA". It matches the Rfam family "Bacterial small subunit ribosomal RNA", at positions 546 to 774 of the family's 1533-position model. The record is from RNAcentral.
CGGAAUUACUGGGCGUAAAGCGUGCGUAGGUGGUUGUUUAAGUCUGAUGUGAAAGCCCUGGGCUCAACCUGGGAAUGGCAUUGGAUACUGGGCAGCUAGAGUGCGGUAGAGGGUAGUGGAAUUCCCGGUGUAGCAGUGAAAUGCGUAGAUAUCGGGAGGAACAUCCGUGGCGAAGGCGACUACCUGGACCAGCACUGACACUGAGGCACGAAAGCGUGGGGAGCAAACA